RNAcentral lists this ribosomal RNA (672 nucleotides) under Triticum aestivum (bread wheat). RNAcentral's name for it is "partial small subunit ribosomal RNA". Lineage: Eukaryota; Viridiplantae; Streptophyta; Magnoliopsida; Poales; Poaceae. The record is from RNAcentral.
AUGCACCUUCCCGAUCCCCAUCUACCUCCUCGUGCGAUAGACAUGCUCUGCUUCCUCUUUUUCCUCGAUCAUUGCCUUCAUUCGCUCAGCUCACUCAAGCCCAUCUUCUCCUCUAGAAGAUUCAGUGCAAAGCAGCUGGAUCUAGCGACCUCUCUUGCAACCCGACUGGAUUCCGUGUUGGUGCCACUCUCUCUAUGUCCAGGCAUGUUUUGCUGGCUCUGCUUCUCUUGUAGAAGGGAGGAUUUGGCUGCUUUCUCAAGAAUCUUCUCAGAUUGUUUGAGCAGAGGUCCCUUUGGACCACCUGUAUUUCAAGAUCUAGAGCUAGGGGAUCCGUCGACACCCUCCAAGAAUUGCUUGUCGUUGCAACUGAUGCAGAUUUUGUCAGUGACUCCUUUUAGUGAUUUGUAUGGCGUCAAUCCAUACCAUUCCCCAGACAAUCAGCUAAUUCACGCCAAAGUUCCAGUGGCUAUUCUCCUCGGUGGAUUAGCUCUUGAUUGCAACAACAACAUGGAGAUGGAUGACCAUUGUUGCAGAGACAACACCGGAACUAUACUUGAGAUUCAAGAUCCCAAUGAGUAUAAUUCCUCUAGCACUGGUGAUAUUCACGUACAUCAAUUGGGAUUAGUUUCUGACCAAGUCCUACAAAGCAAACAUGCUUUCUCAUGCUACUAG